GACGAACGCUGGCGGCGUGCUUAACACAUGCAAGUCGAACGAAGAGCGAUGGAAGCUUGCUUCUAUCAAUCUUAGUGGCGAACGGGUGAGUAACGCGUAAUCAACCUGCCCUUCAGAGGGGGACAACAGUUGGAAACGACUGCUAAUACCGCAUACGAUCUAAUCUCGGCAUCGAGGAUAGAUGAAAGGUGGCCUCUACAUGUAAGCUAUCACUGAAGGAGGGGAUUGCGUCUGAUUAGCUAGUUGGAGGGGUAACGGCCCACCAAGGCGAUGAUCAGUAGCCGGUCUGAGAGGAUGAACGGCCACAUUGGGACUGAGACACGGCCCAGACGCCUACGGGAGGCAGCAGUGGGGAAUCUUCCGCAAUGGACGAAAGUCUGACGGAGCAACGCCGCGUGAGGGAUGACGGCCGUCGGGUUGUAAAGCUCUGUUAAUCGGGACGAAAGGCCUUCUUGCGAAUAGUGAGAAGGAUUGACGGUACCGGAAAAGAAAGCCACGGCUAACUACGUG
Molecule: ribosomal RNA, 510 nt
Filed under: uncultured bacterium
Lineage: Bacteria
Description: partial 16S ribosomal RNA
Rfam family: Bacterial small subunit ribosomal RNA
Source: RNAcentral